AUACCAUGCUAAUGACUUUCUAGAGUAUCUAAUUGAGGUGCUUAUCAUAUUUAUUAUGUGGCUAGAUCAGACUAAUUAUCUUUAUCACUAUUCAUUAUUUCAUAUAUCUUUUAUGUGACACUUAUCCCUGUAUGAAGAGUUAGAUAAAUAUUCUCAAUUAUACAUGCAAUGAUAGAUGCUCAAUCUCAUAUUCUAUUCUGUAAUCAAUAGUGAUGAUUGCUAAUCCCU
Molecule: long non-coding RNA, 228 nt
Filed under: Sorghum bicolor (sorghum)
Lineage: Eukaryota; Viridiplantae; Streptophyta; Magnoliopsida; Poales; Poaceae
Description: long non-coding RNA (SBIC_LNC006948)
Source: RNAcentral